This 607-nucleotide ribosomal RNA is filed under the name uncultured bacterium. RNAcentral describes it as "bacterial SSU rRNA". It matches the Rfam family "Bacterial small subunit ribosomal RNA", at positions 64 to 635 of the family's 1533-position model. The record is from RNAcentral.
GAACGAGUUCUCGUUGAUGAUCGGUGCUUGCACCGAGAUUCAACAUGUAACGAGUGGCGGACGGGUGAGUAACACGUGGGUAACCUGCCCUUAAGUGGGGGAUAACAUUUGGAAACAGAUGCUAAUACCGCAUAGAUCCAAGAACCGCAUGGUUCUUGGCUGAAAGAUGGCGUAAGCUAUCGCUUUUGGAUGGACCCGCGGCGUAUUAGCUAGUUGGUGAGGUAAUGGCUCACCAAGGCGAUGAUACGUAGCCGAACUGAGAGGUUGAUCGGCCACAUUGGGACUGAGACACGGCCCAAACUCCUACGGGAGGCAGCAGUAGGGAAUCUUCCACAAUGGACGCAAGUCUGAUGGAGCAACGCCGCGUGAGUGAAGAAGGCUUUCGGGUCGUAAAACUCUGUUGUUGGAGAAGAAUGGUCGGCAGAGUAACUGUUGUCGGCGUGACGGUGUCCAACCAGAAAGCCACGGCUAACUACGUGCCAGCAGCCGCGGUAAUACGUAGGUGGCAAGCGUUAUCCGGAUUUAUUGGGCGUAAAGCGAGCGCAGGCGGUUUUUUAAGUCUGAUGUGAAAGCCCUCGGCUUAACCGAGGAAGCGCAUCGGAAACUG